GCAAUCCCACGGCCUCGUAUUCACAUCUUUUUGCUUUCCUUUCUCGUCUGAAAAUGGGGAAAAUUUUGAUUUUAGGAUCAAUACUUCCUCUGAUCCAGCUCGAGGGGGACAACUGGAUUGCAGCGGGAGCCAAGAACCCAGAUGGUCUCUUUUGUGAGGAGUAGCCUAUCCUUUCUCCCCUCUUCCCCCUGGAUUGUUUGCACCAUGUAGUAUAAUGUCUCGGGUCAGGAUGGCGUGUCAACACGCGUGUGGGCAUGGCAUUGCUGUGCGUUGUCGUGACAUCUAAAACCUCCUUCUUCU
RNAcentral lists this long non-coding RNA (300 nucleotides) under Panicum hallii. RNAcentral describes it as "long non-coding RNA (PHAL_LNC000718)". The record is from RNAcentral. Lineage: Eukaryota; Viridiplantae; Streptophyta; Magnoliopsida; Poales; Poaceae.